UAUGUUUAAAUUGCAUGUUUCCAUUUUUUGUAACUACUUUGUUUUUCAGGUAUAUUCAGCAGAAUCACUCAAACCUUUCCAGGUUUUCUUAUUGGGAAUUGCUUUCUACAUUAAAAAACAAAAUAAAAAUUUAUAGUUAAGAUCUGGGACCCUUGAGGUUUUGUGAAGAGGGCCUUUUCACUACCCUGUAAUGUUGAGCUUAUCCUAGAUGGGGGCUGCUCUGUGUAUGCAUGUAUAUGGAUAUAGAUGUUGAUGUCCCAAGGAAGGUUACUAACAGUUGAAAUGUAGAGUCAUAACUGGCUUGGGAGUACUUGCUGGCUGUAUUUCUUUCCCAGUUGGGAAUUUCAAGAAACUGAGGCAAGACGUUAAUGGUACAGAGAGGUAUGUGGCUGCUGCAUCUGACUUGGAGACCUGUCAGGAGAGAGGUACACUAAAAGGAGACAGAAAAGAAGACAGUGAUGAGAGAUGUGCAGUUACCCUGAGUAGGGAAUGUGGGAAGGGUCUGAGUGAAAGGAGAGGAAUUAAGAGAUGUAUCCCUUUUAAGACCUAGUGCACACAAACAUGUAAAACCUACCAUGAAUAUUCAGAUGAGGACUGCAUGUUUAUAUGGUGAUAAUGUUUACUUCUGGGAUUUUUUUUUUUUUUAGUCAUUAAUCUCUUGCAUAUUGAUAUGUCUGAAGUGAGAUAUUUUCUUACUAUUUCAUAAACAUCUUUCCAUAUUUUAGAUGUGGUUUUCCAGAUUUUAGGUUGAUAUUCCUAUAAAUUGAAACUACUAACUGAAUGUCCCAUUGUGGGGCUUUGUAUUUUUUAGAAAACAGUAAAAUGAAUAAGAUAGUAGUAUUAAUUAUAGUCAUCAAACUGCUGUCUAAGCCAUAAUUUUGUAUGGACUAUAAUCUUAUUGCCCACUGUUUGUGAUGUUGAAACAAAUAGAUCCAAAAUGUAAUGACUUCACAGGACAAAUUUAUUUCUUGCUUUGUAACGGUCCAGGCAAGUGUUCAGUUGUCUGGGAUGCACUCCUCCACAUAGUCACUUAGGGGUCUAGGUGAAGUCGCUUCUAGGUAUCUCUCCAGUCUUCUGGAAGGGGGAAAGCAUGGAAGAAGAUGAGUGGGAAGUUGUUAUGGACAAGUCUGGAAAUUGCAAGCUCCUCCAGUGAUGAUGGUCUACCAAAAUCUAAACUUCCUUUUUUUUUAAGGGGCUUAGCUACAUUUCCCAGGCUUUUCUGGAUGCAAAAUUUUAACAGUUGAAUUAUGUAUAUACAUUUUUGGGCAUUACCUUACUUGCAUCUUUUGUUAUCUGCGACUACAAUAAUUGAUUUAUCCAGCAUCAUAAGAAAUGAAGCUUUCCAGCAUACUUUACUUUUUUGGAUAUCAGACAUGUUAUAACUUUGUCAAAACUUUACAUUUUAAGCAAUUUUUUCAAAGAAAGAUUUCCAAAAUUUUGUUGCGUCAGACAAAAUAUGUUAUUUUUAAUGACCUGUACUCAACUUUACGUACCUUGGUUAUUGUAUUGAACCAGAAUACAAUUGAUACCCUUUAGGUAUGAGAGUUCAUAGAGCAAUUUGUAAUUACUUAAAUUUUUUACCCUUUGCAUUGUCCUCCUGCCCCAGUAUAGUAGAUUAUAACUCUUUGAAGGUAAGGCCUUUCUCUUGUUCUCUGAAUCUGUUAAGUGAUGCUGAUUAGAUUAUUUUUCUUGGGAUGCCUUUCUGAGAUCCAUUCCUCUACUGGGUGCUCUCUGCUAUCUUCUCUCCUCCUUUUUCUUUUUCUUUUUUUUUAAAACUACAUUUUUAUUGAUUUCAGAGAGGAAGGGGGAGAGAGAGAGAGAGAGAGAGAGA
Molecule: long non-coding RNA, 1831 nt
Organism: Myotis myotis
Lineage: Eukaryota; Metazoa; Chordata; Mammalia; Chiroptera; Vespertilionidae
Exons: 3
Source: RefSeq, a predicted model, not a curated record